This 465-nucleotide ribosomal RNA is filed under the name Vreelandella stevensii. RNAcentral's name for it is "partial 16S ribosomal RNA". It matches the Rfam family "Bacterial small subunit ribosomal RNA", at positions 338 to 795 of the family's 1533-position model. The record is from RNAcentral. Lineage: Bacteria; Pseudomonadati; Pseudomonadota; Gammaproteobacteria; Oceanospirillales; Halomonadaceae.
CCUACGGGCGGCUGCAGUGGGGAAUAUUGGACAAUGGGCGAAAGCCUGAUCCAGCCAUGCCGCGUGUGUGAAGAAGGCCUUCGGGUUGUAAAGCACUUUCAGUGGGGAAGAAAGCCUUGGGGCUAAUACCCUCGAGGAAGGACAUCACCCACAGAAGAAGCACCGGCUAACUCCGUGCCAGCAGCCGCGGUAAUACGGAGGGUGCGAGCGUUAAUCGGAAUUACUGGGCGUAAAGCGCGCGUAGGCGGUCUGAUAAGCCGGUUGUGAAAGCCCCGGGCUCAACCUGGGAAUGGCAUCCGGAACUGUCAGGCUCGAGUGCAGGAGAGGAAGGUAGAAUUCCCGGUGUAGCGGUGAAAUGCGUAGAGAUCGGGAGGAAUACCAGUGGCGAAGGCGGCCUUCUGGACUGACACUGACGCUGAGGUGCGAAAGCGUGGGUAGCAAACAGGAUUAGAUACCCCUGUAGUC